CAGCCGCCGCGGUAAUACAGAGGGUGCAAGCGUUAAUCGGAAUUACUGGGCGUAAAGCGCGCGUAGGUGGUUUGUUAAGUUGGAUGUGAAAUCCCCGGGCUCAACCUGGGAACUGCAUCCAAAACUGGCGAGCUAGAGUAUGGUAGAGGGUGGUGGAAUUUCCUGUGUAGCGGUGAAAUGCGUAGAUAUAGGAAGGAACAUCAGUGGCGAAGGCGACCACCUGGACUGAUACUGACACUGAGGUGCGAAAGCGUGGGGAGCAAACAGGAUUAGAUACCCCCGUAGUCCCUGUCUCUUAUAC
Molecule: ribosomal RNA, 301 nt
Filed under: uncultured bacterium
Lineage: Bacteria
Description: partial 16S ribosomal RNA
Rfam family: Bacterial small subunit ribosomal RNA
Source: RNAcentral